RNAcentral lists this ribosomal RNA (490 nucleotides) under uncultured bacterium. RNAcentral's name for it is "partial 16S ribosomal RNA". It matches the Rfam family "Bacterial small subunit ribosomal RNA", at positions 30 to 507 of the family's 1533-position model. The record is from RNAcentral.
AUUGAACGCUGGCGGCAGGCCUAACACAUGCAAGUCGAACGGUAACAGGAAGCAGCUUGCUGCUUUGCUGACGAGUGGCGGACGGGUGAGUAAUGUCUGGGAAACUGCCCGAUGGAGGGGGAUAACUACUGGAAACGGUAGCUAAUACCGCAUAACGUCGCAAGACCAAAGAGGGGGACCUUAGGGCCUCUUGGCAUCGGGUGUGCCCAGAUGGGAUUAGCUAGUAGGUGGGGUAACGGCUCACCUAGGCGACGAACCCUAGCUGGUCUGAGAGGAUGACCAGCCACCCUGGAACUGAGACACGGCCCAGACUCCUACGGGAGGCAGCAGUGGGGAAUAUUGCACAAUGGGCGCAAGCCUGAUGCAGCCAUGCCGCGUGUAUGAAGAAGGCCUUCGGGUUGUAAAGUACUUUCAGCGGGGAGGAAGGGAGUAAAGUUAAUACCUUUGCUCAUUGACGUUACCCGCAGAAGAAGCACCGGCUAACUCCGUG